UCCGAAGGUCCCAAGCGUUAUCCGGAUUUCUUGGGUUUAAAGGGUGCGUAGGCGGGCUAUUAAGUCAGUGGUGAAAGCCCCAAGCUUAACUUGGGAACUGCCAUUGAUACUGAUGGUCUUGAGUACAUUUGAGGUGGGCGGAAUGUGUCAUGUAGCGGUGAAAUGCUUAGAUAUGACACAGAACACCGAUUGCGAAGGCAGCGCACUAAACUGUAACUGACGCUGAGGCACGAAAGCGUGGGGAGCAAACAGG
RNAcentral lists this ribosomal RNA (253 nucleotides) under uncultured bacterium. RNAcentral describes it as "partial 16S ribosomal RNA". It matches the Rfam family "Bacterial small subunit ribosomal RNA", at positions 524 to 776 of the family's 1533-position model. The record is from RNAcentral.